AGUGAACGCUGGCGGUAGGCCUAACACAUGCAAGUCGAACGGCAGCACAGUAAGAGCUUGCUCUUACGGGUGGCGAGUGGCGGACGGGUGAGGAAUACAUCGGAAUCUACUUUUUCGUGGGGGAUAACGUAGGGAAACUUACGCUAAUACCGCAUACGACCUACGGGUGAAAGCAGGGGAUCUUCGGACCUUGCGCGAUUGAAUGAGCCGAUGUCGGAUUAGCUAGUUGGCGGGGUAAAGGCCCACCAAGGCGACGAUCCGUAGCUGGUCUGAGAGGAUGAUCAGCCACACUGGAACUGAGACACGGUCCAGACUCCUACGGGAGGCAGCAGUGGGGAAUAUUUGACAAUGGGCGCAAGCCUGAUCCAGCCAUACCGCGUGGGUGAAGAAGGCCUUCGGGUUGUAAAGCCCUUUUGUUGGGAAAGAAAAGCAGCAGGUUAAUACCCCGCUGUUCUGACGGUACCCAAAGAAUAAGCACCGGCUAACUUCGUU
RNAcentral lists this ribosomal RNA (492 nucleotides) under uncultured bacterium. RNAcentral's name for it is "partial 16S ribosomal RNA". It matches the Rfam family "Bacterial small subunit ribosomal RNA", at positions 29 to 507 of the family's 1533-position model. The record is from RNAcentral.